Molecule: microRNA precursor, 200 nt
Filed under: Dichanthelium oligosanthes
Lineage: Eukaryota; Viridiplantae; Streptophyta; Magnoliopsida; Poales; Poaceae
Description: MIR1435 microRNA precursor family
Rfam family: MIR1435 microRNA precursor family
Source: Rfam by way of RNAcentral
UUAGUUUGUCCUAAGUCAGACUUAUUCAACUUUGACUAAAUUUAUAGAAAAAUAUAAUAAUAAUUAUAAUAUCAAAGAUAUACACUAUAAAAACAUAUUUUAUGAUGGAUUCAACCAAACAAAUUUGGUAUUAUAAAUUUUGUUAUAUUUUUCUAUAAAAUUGAUCAAAGUUGAAUAAGUUUGACUUAGUACAAACCGAA